UACAGAGGAUGCGAGCGUUGUCCGGAUUUAUUGGGCGUAAAGAGUUCGUAGGCGGUUUGUUAAGUCUGAUGUUAAAGAUCAGGGCUCAACCCUGAGAGUGCAUUGGAUACUGGCAGACUGGAGUGUGGUAGAGGUAAGUGGAAUUCCUGGUGUAGCGGUGAAAUGCGUAGAUAUCAGGAAGAACACCGGUGGCGUAGGCGACUUACUGGGCCAUAGCUGACGCUGAGGAACGAAAGCCAGGGGAGCAAAUGGG
Molecule: ribosomal RNA, 253 nt
Filed under: uncultured bacterium
Lineage: Bacteria
Description: partial 16S ribosomal RNA
Rfam family: Bacterial small subunit ribosomal RNA
Source: RNAcentral